Molecule: ribosomal RNA, 564 nt
Filed under: uncultured bacterium
Lineage: Bacteria
Description: bacterial SSU rRNA
Rfam family: Bacterial small subunit ribosomal RNA
Source: RNAcentral
CUCCUACGGGAGGCAGCAGUGGGGAAUAUUGGACAAUGGGCGAAAGCCUGAUCCAGCCAUGCCGCGUGAGUGACGAAGGCCUUAGGGUUGUAAAACUCUUUUGGCGGGGACGAUAAUGACGGUACCCGCAGAAUAAGCCCCGGCUAACUUCGUGCCAGCAGCCGCGGUAAUACGUAGGGGGCAAGCGUUGUCCGGAUUUACUGGGCGUAAAGAGCGUGUAGGCGGCCAGGCAGGUCCGUUGUGAAAACUGAAGGCUUAACCUUCAGACGUCGACGGAAACCGCGUGGCUAGAGUCCGGAAGAGGAGAGUGGAAUUCCUGGUGUAGCGGUGAAAUGCGCAGAUAUCAGGAAGAACACCAAUGGCGAAGGCAGCUCUCUGGGACGGUACUGACGCUGAGACGCGAAAGCGUGGGGAGCAAACAGGAUUAGAUACCCUGGUAGUCCACGCCGUAAACGAUGGGUGCUAGGUGUGGGAGGUGUCGACUCCUUCCGUGCCGCAGCUAACGCAUUAAGCACCCCGCCUGGGGAGUACGGCCGCAAGGCUAAAACUCAAAGGAAUUGACGG